This 253-nucleotide ribosomal RNA is filed under the name uncultured bacterium. RNAcentral's name for it is "partial 16S ribosomal RNA". It matches the Rfam family "Bacterial small subunit ribosomal RNA", at positions 524 to 776 of the family's 1533-position model. The record is from RNAcentral.
UACGUACUGUGCGAGCGUUAUUCGGAAUCAUUGGGCUUAAAGGGUGCGUAGGCGGCAAUUCAAGUCAGGUGUGAAAUGCCUGAGCUCAACUGAGGCAUUGCGCUUGAAACUGAACUGCUUGAGUAUCCCAGGGGUGUGCGGAACUGCCAGUGGAGCGGUGAAAUGUGUUGAUAUUGGCAGGAACACCGGAGGCGAAAGCGGCACACUGGGGGAUAACUGACGCUGAGGCGCGAAAGCCAGGGGAGCGAACGGG